AUUCAACAUAUCCCCAGAUAGCUCAGAUCUGAGCGCACAUUAUUACUGAAUGGCGCUCAGAGCACACACAUACAGUUCAAUUGCCAUGGAGCCAAAGUCUUUCCCAUAGUCUUUCAUUAUACGAAUGGGCUCCAUGGCAUAGCUAUCUGGGAUAUCACCGCUCAAACAGGGCAAGCACCGAAUGACCCGGCUUUCGUCUCUUCG
Molecule: non-coding RNA, 204 nt
Organism: Pelobates cultripes (western spadefoot toad)
Lineage: Eukaryota; Metazoa; Chordata; Amphibia; Anura; Pelobatidae
Source: the annotation of a GenBank genome assembly